CCUGGCAACGAUAGCGCGGUGGUCCCACCUGACCCCAUGCCGAACUCAGAAGUGAAACGCCGUAGCGCCGAUGGUAGUGUGGGGUAGUCGCUUAAC
This 96-nucleotide ribosomal RNA is filed under the name Klebsiella michiganensis. The record is from RNAcentral. Lineage: Bacteria; Pseudomonadati; Pseudomonadota; Gammaproteobacteria; Enterobacterales; Enterobacteriaceae.